UUGAUGUUUUACAGAAAACAAUCAAAUCAUAAAUCCAGUCAAUGAUUACACAUCAACCAAUCAUCUGUUGACCACAAAACUGAUAAACCAACUUUAUGAUCUGCUUCAUGUUCAGACCAUGUCCUUCUGUCCAAAGUCCACAGGAAUCUGCUUCCUGGCUGCAUUCAGAACCGGUUUGAAACUGGAGCCGGUUGGACUUCAGGACACAAAGCGGUUCCAAAGAUCCAGAGGAAGAAGUCAAAGAAAGAACAGCUGCAUUUGUGUCAGAGGGGUAAAGGUGGAAGAUGUGUGUGAGCUGAUGUGGAUCCAGUGAAUCCAGCAGCAUGGAUCAGGAGGGAGGCCCUCCCUCUAAAAGCAGAGAUGGCCUCAGACUUAUCUUCACUUUAGCCUUGGAGGUUCCCUCCAGCAGUAACC
Molecule: non-coding RNA, 414 nt
Organism: Oryzias latipes (Japanese medaka)
Lineage: Eukaryota; Metazoa; Chordata; Actinopteri; Beloniformes; Adrianichthyidae
Source: RefSeq, a predicted model, not a curated record